Molecule: transfer RNA, 74 nt
Filed under: bacterium
Lineage: Bacteria
Description: tRNA-Pro
Rfam family: tRNA
About the family: Transfer RNA (tRNA) molecules are approximately 80 nucleotides in length.
Source: RNAcentral
CGGGGUGUAGCGUAACGGCAGCGCGCAUGCAUGGGGUGCAUGAUGACGGGGUUCAAUUCCCCGCACCCCGACCA